AUCUGCCUUUUUGUGGGGGAUAACGUAGGGAAACUUACGCUAAUACCGCAUACGUCCUACGGGAGAAAGUGGGGGACCGCAAGGCCUCACGCAGAAAGAUGAGCCGACGACCGAUUAGCUAGUUGGUGGGGUAAAGGCCCACCAAGGCGACGAUCGGUAGCUGGUCUGAGAGGAUGAUCAGCCACACUGGGACUGAGACACGGCCCAGACUCCUACGGGAGGCAGCAGUGGGGAAUAUUGGACAAUGGGCGCAAGCCUGAUCCAGCCAUGCCGCGUGUGUGAAGAAGGCCUUCGGAUUGUAAAGCACUUUUGUCCGGAAAGAAAUCCCUGGAGCUAAUACCUUCGGGGGAU
RNAcentral lists this ribosomal RNA (351 nucleotides) under uncultured Lysobacter sp. RNAcentral describes it as "bacterial SSU rRNA". It matches the Rfam family "Bacterial small subunit ribosomal RNA", at positions 124 to 470 of the family's 1533-position model. The record is from RNAcentral. Lineage: Bacteria; Pseudomonadati; Pseudomonadota; Gammaproteobacteria; Lysobacterales; Lysobacteraceae.